AAAAGAGAUCAAUUUUUUCUCUUCUAAAUGAUCGAUAAGAUACAAAUUUAAAAAAAGAGAUCAAUUUUUUCUCUUCUAACUUCUAAGUGCAUUUAUUUUUGCUACCUUACGCAUGAAAUUAUGUUAUGUGCAAGUGCAACAAUAAUGAUAAAUUCUUUAGGAAUACGACUUCUUUUUCUUUAUCGAUAAACGAUAAAUUCUUUAGGACCUGAUUAGACGACAAUAUGUAAGUAUAAUCGCAAGAUGAUGAAUGAUGUCAAUUCAGUUGUUGCACCUGUUGGUAGCACUAUUACGGCAACACCUUUGCUAGGAAGGAGAGAGAAAAAACAUGUGAGGAAGAUCGAGUCAGAUGAGUAUUGUAUGUGCUGAAAGUGAGAUGAUGUCUUCUUUACAAACUCCAUCAAGAAAAGCAUAUCAGAAAGUGGAUCGUUUGUGCUAUAAGAUGGUGAUGAUUGGAAUGCAAAACUAUCUACCAAGAGAAGCAAAUCCGUAGGCAGAUCUUCAAUGCAAGAACAUGAUGAUGAGUUGAAUGCGAAACUAUCCAGCAAUAGGGUUCGGAGAGUGAUUAAGAAGGAAAAAAACACGAGUUCUUCACUUAUAGGAGACUGUAGUAACUAAAUGCACACUUUUAUUUCAGUCAGGUUUAUUUCUUUUUUAAACAUUUGUUUUACAAUGUCUAUAAGCUAUUAUGGAUAUGAACAACUUUUAUAUUGUCGUUGUUGCUGUUGGUAUUGGGCAUUGUCUUCAUAACAAUACGUGUUUUCAUUAUUCUAUAUAACGCUUUUCACCCUA
This is a long non-coding RNA of Lycium ferocissimum, 792 nucleotides long. RefSeq lists it as uncharacterized. The transcript has 2 exons. Lineage: Eukaryota; Viridiplantae; Streptophyta; Magnoliopsida; Solanales; Solanaceae. The record is from RefSeq and is a predicted model, not a curated record.